UGGGCUGUAGCUUGGUGGCAGAGCACUUGCCUAGUAUGCACGAGGCCCUGGGUUUAAUCCCCAGAACCACAA
Molecule: transfer RNA, 72 nt
Filed under: Ictidomys tridecemlineatus (thirteen-lined ground squirrel)
Lineage: Eukaryota; Metazoa; Chordata; Mammalia; Rodentia; Sciuridae
Description: Spermophilus tridecemlineatus (thirteen-lined ground squirrel) tRNA
Rfam family: tRNA
About the family: Transfer RNA (tRNA) molecules are approximately 80 nucleotides in length.
Source: Rfam by way of RNAcentral